CUUGGCUCCUGCAACGAUGAAGAACGCAGCGAAAUGCGAUACGUAGUGUGAAUUGCAGAAUUCCGCGAAUCAUCGAGUCUUUGAACGCAAGUUGCGCCCGAGGCUUGCCCUCGGGCAUUUCUGUCAGAGCGUCAC
Molecule: ribosomal RNA, 135 nt
Filed under: Schistidium papillosum
Lineage: Eukaryota; Viridiplantae; Streptophyta; Bryopsida; Grimmiales; Grimmiaceae
Also listed under: 1 other name
Description: partial 5.8S ribosomal RNA
Rfam family: 5.8S ribosomal RNA
About the family: 5.8S ribosomal RNA (5.8S rRNA) is a component of the large subunit of the eukaryotic ribosome.
Source: RNAcentral